CCUACGGGGGGCAGCAGCGAGGAAUAUUGCGCAAUGGGGGCAACCCUGACGCAGCAACGCCGCGUGAAGGAAGACGGUUUUCGAAUUGUAAACUUCUUUUCUGAGGGAAGAGAAAGGACGGUACCUCAGGAAUAAGGCCCGGCUAACUACGUGCCAGCAGCCGCGGU
This 167-nucleotide ribosomal RNA is filed under the name uncultured bacterium. Its description in RNAcentral is "partial 16S ribosomal RNA". It matches the Rfam family "Bacterial small subunit ribosomal RNA", at positions 338 to 521 of the family's 1533-position model. The record is from RNAcentral.